Molecule: ribosomal RNA, 1016 nt
Filed under: uncultured bacterium
Lineage: Bacteria
Description: bacterial SSU rRNA
Rfam family: Bacterial small subunit ribosomal RNA
Source: RNAcentral
AGGAAUAUUGGUCAAUGGGCGCGAGCCUGAACCAGCCAAGUAGCGUGAAGGAUGAAGGUCCUACGGAUUGUAAACUUCUUUUAUAAGGGAAUAAAGUCACCCACGUGUGGGUGUUUGUAUGUACCUUAUGAAUAAGCAUCGGCUAACCCCGUGCCAGCAGCCGCGGUAAUACGGAGGAUGCGAGCGUUAUCCGGAUUUAUUGGGUUUAAAGGGAGCGUAGACGGGUCGUUAAGUCAGCUGUGAAAGUUUGGGGCUCAACCUUAAAAUUGCAGUUGAUACUGGCGUCCUUGAGUACGGUUGAGGCAGGCGGAAUUCGUGGUGUAGCGGUGAAAUGCUUAGAUAUCACGAAGAACCCCGAUUGCGAAGGCAGCCUGCUAAACCGCCACUGACGUUGAGGCUCGAAAGUGUGGGUAUCAAACAGGAUUAGAUACCCUGGUAGUCCACACGGUAAACGAUGGAUACUCGCUGUUGGCGAUAGACUGUCAGCGGCUUAGCGAAAGCGUUAAGUAUCCCACCUGGGGAGUACGCCGGCAACGGUGAAACUCAAAGGAAUUGACGGGGGCCCGCACAAGCGGAGGAACAUGUGGUUUAAUUCGAUGAUACGCGAGGAACCUUACCCGGGCUUGAAUUGCAGACGAAUUGCUUGGAAACAGGCAAGCCGCAAGGCGUCUGUGAAGGUGCUGCAUGGUUGUCGUCAGCUCGUGCCGUGAGGUGUCGGCUUAAGUGCCAUAACGAGCGCAACCCUCGUGUCCAGUUACUAGCAGGUUAUGCUGAGGACUCUGGACAGACUGCCAUCGUAAGAUGUGAGGAAGGUGGGGAUGACGUCAAAUCAGCACGGCCCUUACGUCCGGGGCUACACACGUGUUACAAUGGGGGGUACAGCAGGCAGCUACCGGGCGACCGGAUGCCAAUCCCGAAAGCCUCUCUCAGUUCGGACUGGAGUCUGCAACCCGACUCCACGAAGCUGGAUUCGCUAGUAAUCGCGCAUCAGCCACGGCGCGGUGAAUACGUUCCCG